This 721-nucleotide ribosomal RNA is filed under the name uncultured bacterium. RNAcentral's name for it is "bacterial SSU rRNA". It matches the Rfam family "Bacterial small subunit ribosomal RNA", at positions 61 to 793 of the family's 1533-position model. The record is from RNAcentral.
GUCGAACGAUGAAGCUGGAGCUUGCUCCGGUGGAUUAGUGGCGAACGGGUGAGUAACACGUGAGAAAUCUGCCCUUGACUCUGGGAUAACUGCGGGAAACUGUAGCUAAUACCGGAUACUUUCCUUGGUGGGCAUCCACUGAGGAAGAAAGAAUUUCGGUCAAGGAUGAUCUCGCGGCCUAUCAGCUAGUUGGUGAGGUAAUGGCUCACCAAGGCGACGACGGGUAGCCGGCCUGAGAGGGUGACCGGCCACACUGGAACUGAGACACGGUCCAGACUCCUACGGGAGGCAGCAGUGGGGAAUAUUGCACAAUGGGCGCAAGCCUGAUGCAGCAACGCCGCGUGAGGGAUGAAGGCCUUCGGGUUGUAAACCUCUUUUAGCAGGGAAGAAGCGAAAGUGACGGUACCUGCAGAAAAAGCACCGGCUAACUACGUGCCAGCAGCCGCGGUAAUACGUAGGGUGCAAGCGUUAAUCGGAAUUACUGGGCGUAAAGCGUGCGCAGGCGGUUAUACAAGACAGGCGUGAAAUCCCCGGGCUUAACCUGGGAAUGGCGUCUGUGACUGUAUGACUAGAGUGUGUCAGAGGGGGGUAGAAUUCCACGUGUAGCAGUGAAAUGCGUAGAUAUGUGGAGGAAUACCAAUGGCGAAGGCAGCCCCCUGGGAUAACACUGACGCUCAUGCACGAAAGCGUGGGGGGCAAACAGGAUUAGAUACCCUGGUAG